Molecule: ribosomal RNA, 503 nt
Filed under: uncultured bacterium
Lineage: Bacteria
Description: bacterial SSU rRNA
Rfam family: Bacterial small subunit ribosomal RNA
Source: RNAcentral
AUCCUGGCUCAGGAUGAAUGCUAGCUACAGGCUUAACACAUGCAAGUCGAGGGAAACGAUAGAGAAAGCUUGCUUUUUCUAGGCGUCGACCGGCGCACGGGUGAGUAACGCGUAUCCAACCUGCCCAUCACUUGGGGAUAACCUUGCGAAAGUAAGACUAAUACCCAAUGACGUCUCUAGAAGACAUCUGAAAGAGAUUAAAGAUUUAUCGGUGAUGGAUGGGGAUGCGUCUGAUUAGCUUGUUGGCGGGGUAACGGCCCACCAAGGCGACGAUCAGUAGGGGUUCUGAGAGGAAGGUCCCCCACAUUGGAACUGAGACACGGUCCAAACUCCUACGGGAGGCAGCAGUGAGGAAUAUUGGUCAAUGGACGAGAGUCUGAACCAGCCAAGUAGCGUGCAGGAUGACGGCCCUAUGGGUUGUAAACUGCUUUUAUAAGGGAAUAAAGUGAGUCUCGUGAGACUUUUUGCAUGUACCUUAUGAAUAAGGACCGGCUAAUUCCGUG